UACGUAGGGUGCAAGCGUUGUCCGGAAUUAUUGGGCGUAAAGAGCUCGUAGGCGGUCUGUCGCGUCUGCUGUGAAAACUCAGGGCUUAACCCUGAGCUUGCAGUGGGUACGGGCAGACUAGAGUGCGGUAGGGGAGACUGGAAUUCCUGGUGUAACGGUGAAAUGCGCAGAUAUCAGGAGGAACACCGGUGGCGAAGGCGGGUCUCUGGGCCGUAACUGACGCUGAGGAGCGAAAGCAUGGGGAGCGAACAGG
This 253-nucleotide ribosomal RNA is filed under the name uncultured bacterium. RNAcentral's name for it is "partial 16S ribosomal RNA". It matches the Rfam family "Bacterial small subunit ribosomal RNA", at positions 524 to 776 of the family's 1533-position model. The record is from RNAcentral.